GAACAACUGCCAGCAUCCUGCCUCUAUGUGCUAAAGUGGCUAAUCAGCAGACAUGGCAAAGAAUUCCACUGCAAAGUUCCUUUUAGUACU
Long non-coding RNA from Hibiscus syriacus, 90 nucleotides. RefSeq lists it as uncharacterized. The record is from RefSeq and is a predicted model, not a curated record. The transcript is spliced from 3 exons. NCBI's taxonomy places the organism in Eukaryota, Viridiplantae, Streptophyta, Magnoliopsida, Malvales, Malvaceae.